AAGGAGAUCUUGGACACCAC
RNAcentral lists this microRNA (20 nucleotides) under Lotus japonicus. Its description in RNAcentral is "lja-miR11079-5p". The record is from miRBase by way of RNAcentral. Lineage: Eukaryota; Viridiplantae; Streptophyta; Magnoliopsida; Fabales; Fabaceae.